RNAcentral lists this ribosomal RNA (402 nucleotides) under uncultured Latescibacterota bacterium. RNAcentral's name for it is "bacterial SSU rRNA". It matches the Rfam family "Bacterial small subunit ribosomal RNA", at positions 983 to 1382 of the family's 1533-position model. Lineage: Bacteria; Pseudomonadati; Candidatus Latescibacterota. The record is from RNAcentral.
GACAUGCAGGUGAUCGCCGUUGAAAGACGGUUUCCUCUUCGGAGGCACCUGCACAGGUGCUGCAUGGCUGUCGUCAGCUCGUGUCGUGAGAUGUUGGGUUAAGUCCCGCAACGAGCGCAACCCUUAUCCCCAGUUGCCAUCAGGUAAAGCUGGGAACUCUGGGGAGACUGCCGGUGAUAAACCGGAGGAAGGCGGGGGAUGACGUCAAGUCCUCAUGGCCCUUACAUCCCGGGCUACACACGUGCUACAAUGGCAGGUACAGAGGGCUGCGAAGCCGCGAGGUGGAGCGAAUCCCAGAAAACCUGUCUCAGUCCGGAUUGAAGUCUGCAACUCGACUUCAUGAAGGCGGAAUCGCUAGUAACCGCGAAUCAGCAGGUCGCGGUGAAUACGUUCCCGGGCCUU